Molecule: non-coding RNA, 95 nt
Organism: Lupinus albus (white lupine)
Lineage: Eukaryota; Viridiplantae; Streptophyta; Magnoliopsida; Fabales; Fabaceae
Source: the annotation of a GenBank genome assembly
CGACUUUGAGGUAUGGCUGAGUGGCUUAAGGCAUUGGUUUGCUAAAUCGACAUACAAGAAGAUUGUAUCAUGAGUUCGAAUCCCAUUUCCUUUGG